This 393-nucleotide ribosomal RNA is filed under the name Triticum aestivum (bread wheat). RNAcentral's name for it is "partial small subunit ribosomal RNA". The record is from RNAcentral. Lineage: Eukaryota; Viridiplantae; Streptophyta; Magnoliopsida; Poales; Poaceae.
AUGCGGGAGGAAAUGGCGAUGUACAAGAUCAGAGACGUCAGUGAGCUAUAUGCCCUGGCCGACAAGUGUGCACGUGCUGAGGAAGGGAGGAAACUCCCCAGAGAGAAUACAGAAGCAGGAAGAUCUGAUAGUGAGGAUGCUGCCCCGGCAAAGAAGAGCCGGCGGCGGAACGGCAGGAAAAAGAAAGGCAAAAAUGUGCUAGUUGUUGAGCAGUCCGGCAAUGGAGGUGGCGCCAAGAAAGCCAAAGCUGGUAGUUCCGGCAAGGAGACUGUCGCAGGCAUCAACUACCAGGCUGUGGCGGUCGCCGACAAGCAGGACGACACUAACAAGCAGUACUGUAAGAUCCACCGCAUCAAGGGCCAUGACCUCCAGAGCUGCAAGAAGGUCGAGUAG